CGAACCACAUGGAUGGAGACGGGGGACCCACCGGUCCACCGUGAUCGGACUGGAGCCGCCCGCGGCUCCUAGGGGUGAAGCCGACGUCGUCGCUUCGACGACCACGCCGGCCGGGUGGCCUCUCCAACCCGAACCCGACAGCUGACCUCGCAGGCGCGUGACGAGAGA
Molecule: small RNA, 168 nt
Filed under: Mycobacterium avium
Lineage: Bacteria; Bacillati; Actinomycetota; Actinomycetes; Mycobacteriales; Mycobacteriaceae
Description: ydaO/yuaA leader
Rfam family: c-di-AMP riboswitch aptamer (ydaO/yuaA leader)
About the family: This family represents a conserved RNA structure found upstream of the ydaO and yuaA genes in Bacillus subtilis and related genes in other bacteria. The ydaO/yuaA element is thought to act as a genetic "off" switch for the ydaO and yuaA genes in its native state. It is believed that the element may be triggered during osmotic shock leading to activation of ydaO, a predicted amino acid transporter gene, and members of the yuaA-yubG operon which code for KtrA and KtrB K+ transporters.
Source: RNAcentral